GGUAGGAGCGAAAGGGACGUCCGCAGAGGAGACGACUGGCGUUUGACGCCUUGCAAGAAAAGAGGGGAAAACCAAGUUCCCAGAGAGGGUCACGAUUGGUCGCGCUUCUUGUGACGUCCAAUGGCAGAGGCCAAAGGGAUUCCGAGGGCAGUCUCGCGGGAAAGAGGCGAGGCAGCCUGACGUCCGUUACCCAAAGUAUAGCUCUGGUCGCCUCUGAAAUUGUCUUAGUUUUUCUUUUUGACCUCUUUGUCCCCUAAUCCUCUUCCAAUAUGAUAUUCUUGCUGGGCUCUUUCUCCCUGUGGUUUGCUGAAUCAAUCACCUAACCCAAAGCCUCAAGCUUUUAAUCAGCAAAAAUGUUUUGCAGGAGGCUGAAGAGCCACCUCACAGAGAUUUCUGCCUCAUCCCAGAGUAAGAAAACCCAGACAUUCCCUGAUCCUCAAGCCAGGCCUGUCAAUACGGAAGCCAUAAAACUGAAAACCAAAUAUCCCAGUGGACAAAGAACAUCUCCAAGUCCCCGUGAUGCUAGGACCUGACAUCUCUUGCUUCCCCUGUUGGCACUUCAGAAAUUCCCCAACCUGAUUAACACAGCCCUGGGAAAGGGAGAGGGCCUCAGUUGAUAAGAUUAUUGUCACUGCAGCUGAGUGAGGGCUUGAAAAAGAAAGAAAGCUCAGUUACAGAAAAACUUCUAUUUGUUACCUAUUUUGAGUUUGUAGACUGAAGUUCAUUCCUGCUAUGCUGUUACCUGUGAGUGUGAACUAGUAGCCACUAGUUUUUAAGUUCAGUAAUAUAAGAAUUUUCCCUUUA
Long non-coding RNA from Leopardus geoffroyi (Geoffroy's cat), 804 nucleotides. RefSeq lists it as uncharacterized. The record is from RefSeq and is a predicted model, not a curated record. The transcript is spliced from 3 exons. NCBI's taxonomy places the organism in Eukaryota, Metazoa, Chordata, Mammalia, Carnivora, Felidae.